This 107-nucleotide small nuclear RNA is filed under the name Dasypus novemcinctus (nine-banded armadillo). Lineage: Eukaryota; Metazoa; Chordata; Mammalia; Cingulata; Dasypodidae. The record is from RNAcentral.
GUGCUUGCUUCAGCAGCACAUAUACUAAAAUUGGAACGAUAGGCAAAAGAUUAGCAUGGCCCCUGUGCAAGGAUGACACACAAAUUUGUGAAGUGGUCCAUAUUUUU